Molecule: ribosomal RNA, 497 nt
Filed under: uncultured bacterium
Lineage: Bacteria
Description: partial 16S ribosomal RNA
Rfam family: Bacterial small subunit ribosomal RNA
Source: RNAcentral
GAUGAACGCUGGCGGCGUGCCUAAUACAUGCAAGUCGAGCGAACAGACGAGGAGCUUGCUCCUCUGACGUUAGCGGCGGACGGGUGAGUAACACGUGGAUAACCUACCUAUAAGACUGGGAUAACUUCGGGAAACCGGAGCUAAUACCGGAUAACAUGUUGAACCGCAUGGUUCAACAGUGAAAGACGGUCUUGCUGUCACUUAUAGAUGGAUCCGCGCCGCAUUAGCUAGUUGGUAAGGUAACGGCUUACCAAGGCAACGAUGCGUAGCCGACCUGAGAGGGGGAUCGGCCACACUGGAACUGGGACACGGUCCCGACUCCUACGGGAGGCAGCAGUAGGGAAUCUUCCGCAAUGGGCGAAAGCCUGGCGGAGCAACGCCGCGUGAGUGAAGGAGGUCUUCGGAUCGUAAAACUCUGUUAUUAGGGAAGAACAAAUGUGUAAGUAACUAUGCACGUCUUGACGGUACCUAAUCAGAAAGCCACGGCUAACUACGUG